Molecule: ribosomal RNA, 273 nt
Filed under: uncultured bacterium
Lineage: Bacteria
Description: partial 16S ribosomal RNA
Rfam family: Bacterial small subunit ribosomal RNA
Source: RNAcentral
AUACGGAGGGUGCAAGCGUUAUUCGGAAUCACUGGGCGUAAAGGACGCGUAGGCGGGUUGGCAAGUCAGAUGUGAAAUCCUACAGCUUAACUGUAGAACUGCAUUUGAAACUGCUAACCUAGAGUAUGGGAGGGGGAGAUGGAAUUAGUGGUGUAGGGGAAAAUCCGUAGAUAUCACUAGGAAUACCGAAAGCGAAGGCGAUCUCCUGGAACAUAACUGACGCUAAGGCGUGAAAGCGUGGGGAGCAAACAGGAUUAGAAACCCUAGUAGUCC